Molecule: ribosomal RNA, 252 nt
Filed under: uncultured bacterium
Lineage: Bacteria
Description: partial 16S ribosomal RNA
Rfam family: Bacterial small subunit ribosomal RNA
Source: RNAcentral
UACGGGGGGGUAAGCGUUGUUCGGAAUUACUGGGCGUAAAGGGCUCGUAGGCGGCCAACUAAGUCAGCCGUGAAAUCCCUCAGCUUAACUGGGGAACUGCGUCUGAUACUGGAUGGCUUGGAUUCGGGAGAGGAAUGCGGAAUUCCAGGUGUAGCGGUGAAAUUCGUAGAUAUUCGGAAGAACACCAGUGGCGAAGGCGGCUCACUGGUCCGGUACUGACGCUGAGGUGCGAAAGCGUGGGGAGCAAACAGG